AUGGAGAACUGCAUAAACGAGUUGAUGCGUGACACUGAAGGUGCCCAUGCAAAUGCAGGAUUUGUAAACAAGAUGGCUCAGUGCCUCAGGAGUUUGGGGAUACAACAUCAGAUUACCAACCGGAUCGAGGAGGUCAAAGUUCUCAUGGUGGAGAUGUCGACGAUCUACAUGGAGGUAGCAGGUCUUGUUGGUGUUGAUGGCCUAAGAGAAGAGCUUGUCAGUUUGUUGACAGAUUCUCAGAAGAAACUCAAAGUGGUUUCCAUCAUGGGGUUUGGAGGGGUCAGGAAGCAGGCCUCCUUCCUCGAAAAUGAGCACGACUCCAUGAAAGCUCUCCUUGACAAGAUCUAG
RNAcentral lists this ribosomal RNA (348 nucleotides) under Triticum aestivum (bread wheat). Its description in RNAcentral is "partial small subunit ribosomal RNA". The record is from RNAcentral. Lineage: Eukaryota; Viridiplantae; Streptophyta; Magnoliopsida; Poales; Poaceae.